RNAcentral lists this ribosomal RNA (401 nucleotides) under uncultured bacterium. RNAcentral describes it as "bacterial SSU rRNA". It matches the Rfam family "Bacterial small subunit ribosomal RNA", at positions 356 to 774 of the family's 1533-position model. The record is from RNAcentral.
CGGGAAUUUUGGGCAAUGGGCGAAAGCCUGACCCAGCAACGCCGCGAGAGGGAUGAAGUAUUUCGGUAUGUAAACCUCGAAAGAAUGGGAAGAAUAAAUGACGGUACCAUUUAUAAGCUCCGGCUAACUACGUGCCAGCAGCCGCGGUAAUACGUAGGGAGCAAGCGUUGUUCGGAUUUACUGGGCGUAAAGCGCGCGUAGGUGGUUUGGUAAGAUGGAUGUGAAAUCCCCGGGCUCAACCUGGGAACUGCAUCCAUAACUGCCUGACUAGAGCACGGUAGAGGGUGGUGGAAUUUCCUGUGUAGCGGUGAAAUGCGUAGAUAUAGGAAGGAACGCCAGUGGCGAAGGCGACCACCUGGACUGAUACUGACACUGAGGUGCGAAAGCGUGGGGAGCAAACA